RNAcentral lists this ribosomal RNA (1998 nucleotides) under metagenome. RNAcentral describes it as "bacterial LSU rRNA". It matches the Rfam family "Bacterial large subunit ribosomal RNA", at positions 1 to 2006 of the family's 2925-position model. The record is from RNAcentral.
UCAAAUGAAAAGGGCACAGGGCGGAUGCCUUGGCUCCAGGAAGCGAUGAAGGACGUGGCAAGCUGCGAUAAGCCUCGGGGAGAAGCAAACAUUNUUUGAUCCGGGGAUUUCCGAAUGGGGAAACCCGCCUGAGUCUCUCAGGCAUCGCUGGCUGAAUUCAUAGGUCAGCGAAGCGAACCCGGGGAACUGAAACAUCUAAGUACCCGGAGGAAAAGAAAUCAAACGAGAUUCCCUCAGUAGCGGCGAGCGAACGGGGAAGAGCCCAAACCACCCGGUACGCCGGGUGGGGUUGUAGGACCAUCACACGGGCAGGCAAAGGGUUAGCGGAAGCACUUGGGAAAGUGCGCCAGAGAGGGUUAGAGCCCCGUAGGCGAAAACCGUGAGCCGCCCGAUGGCACCUGAGUAGGACGGGACACGUGAAAUCCUGUUCGAAGCUGGGGGGACCACCCUCCAAGGCUAAAUAUUCCCUGGAGACCGAUAGCGAACCAGUACCGUGAGGGAAAGGUGAAAAGAACCCCGAUAAGGGGAGUGAAAUAGAUCCUGAAACCCUGUGUCUACAAGCAGUGGAAGCUCCUCAUGAGAGCGACCGCGUGCCUUUUGCAUAAUGAGCCAACGAGUUAAGGUCAGUGGCAAGGUUAAGUUGUUAACGGAGCCGAAGCGAAAGCGAGUCUGAAUAGGGCGUCGAGUCGCUGGCCUUAGACCCGAAACCGAGUGAUCUAGCCCCGUCCAGGUUGAAGCUUGGGUAAGACCAAGUGAAGGACCGAACCAGUAUACCUUAAAACGUAUUUGGAUGAGGUGGGGUUAGGAGUGAAAGGCUAAUCAAACUCGGAAAUAGCUGGUUCUCCCCGAAAUAUAUUUAGGUAUAGCCUCGAGAUAGGCUGCCGGAGGUAGAGCACUGAUUGGACUAGGGGGCCCACCAGCCUACCAAACCCAGUCAAACUCCGAAUGCCGGCAAGUCAUUUCUCGGGAGUCAGACGGCGUGAGCUAACUUUCGUCGUCGAAAGGGAAACAACCCAGACCGCCAGCUAAGGCCCCCAAGUAUCAGUUAAGUGUGAAAGGAUGUGGGAGCGCCCAGACAACCAGGAAGUUAGCUUAGAAGCAGCUACCUUUUAAAGAAAGCGUAAUAGCUCACUGGUCAAGCGAACCUGCGCCGAAAAUAUAACGGGGCUCAAACUGAUCGCCGAAGCUGCGGAAUCAAUAUGAUUGGUAGGGGAGCUUUCCCUGGGCGGUGAAGCUGGAUCGAAAGGGCCAGUGGAGCGCAGGGAAGUGAGGAUGUUGGCAUGAGUAACGAAAAUGCGGGUGAGAAACCCGCACGCCGAAAGUCCAAGGGUUCCCGUGGCCAUGUUAAUCAGCCCGGGGUUAGUCGGCCCCUAAGGCGAGGCCGAAAGGCGUAGUCGAUGGGAAACAGGCUAAUAUUCCUGUACUGAAAGUUGCGCGCGAUGGAGGGACGCAGCAGGAUAGGUCAGCCGGGUGACGGAUAUCCCGGUUUAAGGUCGUAGUCGGUCUGCUUAGGUAAAUCCGGGCAGGCAACGACGAGAACUGAUGACGAGAGGUUCGCCUCACAAAGUGAUUGAUUCCACACUGCCAAGAAAAGCUUCUAAGUAUAGUAACUUUCAACCGUACCCCAAACCGACACAGGUGGACAGGUAGAAAAUACCAAGGCGCUUGAGUGAUAUCACGUUAAGGAACUCUGCAAAAUAGCUCCGUAUCUUCGGUAGAAGGAGUGCCUCCAGUAUGUGAAUGGGCUCGCCCCAAGAGCAGACAGAGGCCGCAGUGAAAGGGCCCAGGCGACUGUUUAGCAAAAACAUAGCACUCUGCUAAAUCGUAAGAUGACGUAUAGGGUGUGACGCCUGCCCGGUGCCGGAAGGUUAAGAGGAGGAGUCAGCGCAAGCGAAGCUGCGAAUCGAAGCCCCGGUAAACGGCGGCCGUAACUAUAACGGUCCUAAGGUAGCGAAAUUCCUUGUCGGGUAAGUUCCGACCUGCACGAAUGGCGUAACG